UGGGGGAGUAUUGCACAAUGGGGGGAACCCGUGAUGCAGCGACGCCGCGUGAAGGAAGAAGUAUCUCGGUAUGUAAACUUCUAUCAGCAGGGAAGAAAAUGACGGUACCUGACUAAGAAGCCCCGGCUAACUACGUGCC
Molecule: ribosomal RNA, 139 nt
Filed under: uncultured bacterium
Lineage: Bacteria
Description: partial 16S ribosomal RNA
Rfam family: Bacterial small subunit ribosomal RNA
Source: RNAcentral